Long non-coding RNA from Anguilla anguilla (European eel), 1221 nucleotides. RefSeq lists it as uncharacterized. NCBI's taxonomy places the organism in Eukaryota, Metazoa, Chordata, Actinopteri, Anguilliformes, Anguillidae. The record is from RefSeq and is a predicted model, not a curated record. The transcript has 3 exons.
AUGUUACGGAAUAACACAAUUUCUCCAAUACCUGGGUGGGUUUACGUGCAUUUGUUUAACAAUCGAUCUGUGGAACUGACAUCAUAAUAAGCACUUGGUGUGUUUCCUCACCUGUAGGCAUGCCCCAUGGCAAAGAUUCCAACUAAUUAGACCAGAGGUGGGCAAUGAGGGCUGUAUCCGUUUGUGGUUUUCAUUUUUUGAUAAGCGCGUGAUUUCCAACCAAAUACACCAUGUUUUUGUGUCCCUAUCUGUUUACUGUGAUCUAAUCUACAAGUGAAGUAGUGAUGGUGUAUACAGUUAGCUCGUUUAGCCAGGGUAAUUGGAGGCAACAAAAGCCUGUAUAUACACACAGACCCUCCAGGACCAGAAUUGCCCACCCUUGGAUUAGACCUUGGGUUCACAAACUCGUGCACAAACUUGAAGGAUCUGAGAGUAUGCUGGUUUCAAUUCCAACCACAGUGGCAACCCUGGAAUUGUAACAAGCUGUUAAUUGUUCUUAAUUAGGCACUUUUAGCAUCCAUUGAGGGAUGAUUUACCAUUUCAAGGCCCCAUUAUGUCAGCAACCACUAUGCAUGCCAUAAAGAACAAAUGUUCCACAUUCCCAUCCCAGCACUUGUAAUCAAUCAAAAUGGCUAAUUGGGCAAAAUCCUUUCAUUUUUCCCAAAGGAACUUUGGUUGUGCUAUCGGUGUCAAAAAUAAAGUAUGCAAUGCAAACAAACUAAUGCUUUCAUUUUCAAUGUGUAAUUAUAAAUGUGUACAUGCUUAAUGAUACUCUUGGGAAGUGAUUGCCUUGUUUAAUUGACUACACUAUAGACGCACAGGUGAAUUAAGUUGGGUUCUAAUUGCUGAAAGUGUGUACACCUGGCCACUAAUAAAACAUUUUGAAUGAAUUUGUAUUCAUGCCUGUAUUCAACAAAUAAUUGUCCCAUAUUUUGGCAGUAACAACCUGUGUAUGCAGGGGUCCCCCAAGACCAGGGGUGGGAAGUUCCUGGUGGAAAGUCCAGGGGUCAGAAAGUAAAAAUCCUGCCAUGUGUUUCUUCUACAUGAAGUCAGCCAACUGAUUUAACCAAAUACUUCUACCUCCUGGGUGAAGAAUUGCAUCAACCAGCAAAUCCAGACACCCUUAUCUAGGCAAGGCCAUUGGAAACCUCCCUGCAGUGGGUGGAGUCAGGGUUAUUCAAAUACAGCUUGGCCAUAGAGGUGGAGCGGGGAUGCCUUUAG